Molecule: non-coding RNA, 1640 nt
Organism: Oryzias latipes (Japanese medaka)
Lineage: Eukaryota; Metazoa; Chordata; Actinopteri; Beloniformes; Adrianichthyidae
Source: RefSeq, a predicted model, not a curated record
UCGAAGCCCAUCGAGACGACUGUUGUUGUGAUUUUGGGCUAUACAAAUAAAAUUGAAUUGAAUUGAAUUGAAUUUGGAGCCAGGUGGAGUAAAGACUGACCUCAUCGCAGCUGAAUGGACUGCAUUGAAAUCUCUAGUCGACAAAAGGUAGGUGCUUUUUAAUUAUCAUACAGAUUGUCUUUUGGAUACCAAUAUGAGCCCUCUUAGUUAUUGAAUUAAUGUCCAAGUUCACUGGCUGUCACCAGGCAUCCCAAUAACUCCAGUGACAUGAGCUGGGCUUCCCUCAAAGAGUUUGGCCAGUGCGUCCCCAACUUGAUGGAGCUGGUAGAUCUGGUCCUCACCAUCCCUGUGACAUCCUCUGAAGUUGAGCGCUGCUUCAGUGUAAUGAAGCAAGUCAAGACAGACUCAGCGGGGACUUGCUAAACAUGUUGAUAAGCAUUGUCCUGCUGUCCCCAUCAGAGGCAGCUUUUGAUUCUCUUCCUGCAGUCCAGCAUUGGUGGGAGGCCUGCCAGAGACGUGAGCGGCAUCAGCCUCAGCAGACUAGUCGGACGUUGACGAUGAUGACAUAUCCCUUGAGGAACUUGUCUGUAGAGGCAGUUGAUAUAUGUAUAGAAUAAAUAAAGAUGCAAGUACUGACAUCUGAGUAGGUUUCGUUGCUGUUGAAUAUUGGCAUCGAAGGACAACCAAAAAUUGGGGAGGACAACCAAAUAUUUAUUUUUCCUUAUUUAUUAUUUUUCCUUACUAAUGCUGCUCAUAGUUGAGGAACCCCCCACUCAGCACAGACACAGGAGUGGAACCCCCACUGUGCUGGCUGUUGAAGACAGCCCGCUUCUGUCUCAUUUUAUCUCUUUCCUCUUCAUCAUUUGCUCUUCUGCCUCAGACUGAAGACAGUAGAAACGUCGGAUGACACCCCUUCAGAUGUUUAGAGGAGCUGCAGCAGGAGGUUCUGGAGGGUGUUGUGAGGACUUCCUCACAACUCCAGAGUCCAGCUGAAAUGGCAUCUGCUGAGGCAGAUGGAAGAUGUCCUGAUACACUGAAGAAGAUAACCGUGGAGAAUAUUGUCAUCCGGAUGAACGAGUGAUGGAUGAAACCGGCCUCUUCUGGAGGAAGAGUGACGAUCCUGAUGUGCCUUACAAAGAAUGAGCUGCUGGUUAUGUCGACGCGAACAUCACCAACCCAAAUGUGGCAGGAGCUGUUCUGAGAAGGUUCUGGAUUUCUCAGAGCUUAAACUGGGAGUCAGACUUUACUCUCAGUCAAAUGCAGGGAGAAAUCACUGACGGGAACUCCUGAUGCACCUGCAGCUCCUCUCCACUCAUCCAGUCUGGAUUUAAGACCAGCGUUUCCAGCCUUUUCCUACAAGUCUGUCAGCUAACUUCCAUAGAUUCCCUCCUGGAUCAUCGUCGUUUUUUUUGGGACAGCAGUGACUCCUCACCACAUCACUCCUCCUCUUUGACCACGACAGAAUCAGGAGGAACCACUCAUUACAGCAGCCAGUAGCAUAAUAAAAAAUGUAAUAAUAAAUAACAUAAAAUGUUGUGUUUAUUGAAGGAAAAUAUCCCCCAUUUUGAAAUGUUGUUUGGAACAAACAAAGAUUUACAUUACUUUAAGUUGACUUUUAAUAAAACAUUGAUUGAGAUGAA